RNAcentral lists this unclassified non-coding RNA (330 nucleotides) under soil metagenome. RNAcentral's name for it is "partial contains 5.8S ribosomal RNA, internal transcribed spacer 2, and large subunit ribosomal RNA". The stretch from base 1 to 120 matches the Rfam family "5.8S ribosomal RNA", at positions 35 to 154 of the family's 154-position model. The record is from RNAcentral.
GAUGAAGAACGCAGCAAAAUGCGAUAAGUAAUGUGAAUUGCAGAAUUCAGUGAAUCAUCGAAUCUUUGAACGCACAUUGCGCCCGCCAGUAUUCUGGCGGGCAUGCCUGUUCGAGCGUCAUUUCAACCCUCAAGCACAGCUUGGUGUUGGGACUCGCGUUAAUUCGCGUUCCUCAAAUUGAUUGGCGGUCACGUCGAGCUUCCAUAGCGUAGUAGUAAAACCCUCGUUACUGGUAAUCGUCGCGGCCACGCCGUUAAACCCCAACUUCUGAAUGUUGACCUCGGAUCAGGUAGGAAUACCCGCUGAACUUAAGCAUAUCAAUACGGAGGA